GAGAGAUUUUUCCGGCCACCAGAUGCACAAGUCAUUUACAAGGACAAAACAGGGACAGAAGUCGAUGAAGAAAUACUCAGCGACCUGGUUGGACAAGGCAACGUGAGUUUUCUGAUUGGUCCUUGUCUUCGGCUUCUGAGUCGGACUCAAGCUUCAGCUCAAAUGCAUCGACUGUAAACAUGGAUGAGGUCCCAAGGAAGAGACAACGAUUUGAAGAUGCAAAUGCAGCGUCUGCUAAACAGUUGAUAGACGCUGUGCUUAGAGGCAAGUCCGGUGGUGAAGAGCUGCUACAGGAAGAACAGAAACAUUAACAGAUGCUGCAAGACGGCAAAUGCUGAACAUACUGGUGGCUCACAUGAUUGAUAACCAUGGCACCUCCCCAUUAAAGCGAUCAGAGAAGAGUUUGCUCUUGGUAUCGUGAUGCUGUUCGCUUCCCUCAAGGAUCCACAUUCCAAGAAAGGCUGUGAACACUUCUUUGAUCCUGAAAGCAACACAGGAAACAUUUCUUGGCGUCUGAAAACAGUCCAAAGGCAGAUUGGUCGAGGGUCUGCAACGCCACCAAGUAGCUCCAUUGACUUUUCUCCAGGAGGCCCAACUUUCCAAAGGCUUGUUAAUGUUGAAGGACAGUGUGGAGUAUAAAGCUGGACUUGUUGUGUGCUGUACAAUGGAAGAAGACAUGCCAGUCUUUGGUGAAAUAAGUGAUGUACUUUUGGUUGAAAAAAUUUUCAAAAUUUCGAAAUUCACCACUGGACUUUUUGCUGUGUAAACGGAGGCGUCAUGUUCCAUUGACAACAAAUCCAUAAAGUCUUUACACCAGCUCUCGAUACUAAAGCAGGUGGACUUACCUUCUUUCCAGUUCAACAAAAUAAUUUGUUUGACUGACAGAAAGGCCAGGACGACACUUCUCUGUUUCAUCCCAGAUUUUGCAUUGUUCAGAUUCAAACCCAGUUUACAAGCCAGGGGCAGAGUUUUAUGUCCAGGCCACACGACAAACAUUCAAUAACCUUCACCCAGAACCUCUUCAGAUGCAUAAGUGUUCCCUCCACCUCACAGCCACACCACAGAAUUUAAAUGAUACUGUUCAUUUUAUACAGAGUGUGAGGUGUAAUGUAUGUUCUAUGUAUUAUCUUCAUUUGUAUAAUUUUAUAUCUAACGCACUGACAUUUUUGUACAGCUUGUAAGUACGUCCCAGUGUUUGGAGGAAAUAGGUGCACCCACAUCACGUUCCCAUCGUCGCUCCGUAUGGGAGAACCUGUCAGGAGUAGCAGAACAUAAUAAUUUAUACGUUGCAGAGACUGUACCUUUCCUGACAGCAAUUCCCUUUCAGAUGUUGUCUA
Mugil cephalus (flathead mullet) is the source of this 1337-nucleotide long non-coding RNA. RefSeq lists it as uncharacterized. The record is from RefSeq and is a predicted model, not a curated record. Lineage: Eukaryota; Metazoa; Chordata; Actinopteri; Mugiliformes; Mugilidae. The transcript has 5 exons.